This 468-nucleotide ribosomal RNA is filed under the name uncultured bacterium. Its description in RNAcentral is "partial 16S ribosomal RNA". It matches the Rfam family "Bacterial small subunit ribosomal RNA", at positions 28 to 507 of the family's 1533-position model. The record is from RNAcentral.
GACGAACGCUGGCGGCGUGCCUAACACAUGCAAGUCGAACGGAAAGGCCGUGCUUUUUUGGGGUGCUCGCGGGGCGAACGGGUGAGUUACAUGUGAGUAAGCUGCCCUUGACUUUGGGAUAACUUCAGGCAACUGGGGCUAAUACCGGAUAGGAGCUCCUGCUGCAUGGUGGGGGUUGGAAAGUUUGGUCGGUGGGGGAUGGACGCGCGGCUUAUCAGCUUGUUGGUGGGGUAGUGGCUUACGAGGGCUUCGACGGGUAGCCGGCCUGAGAGGGGGACCGGCGACAUUGCGACUGAGAUAGGGACCAGUCUCGAAUGGGAGGCAGCGGUGGAGAGUCUUGCACAGUGGGGGGAAGCCUGUUGAGACAGCGCCGCGUGCGGGAAGACGGCCAUGGGGUUGUGAACCGCAGUAGCCUGAGACGAAGCGUGAGUGACGGUAAUGGGUGAAGAAGCACCGGCUAACUACGUG